UUCUCUUUCUCCCUCUUUCUCUCUCCUCUUUCAUGGACGAUGGAACCCAUCGUCGUCCGUGUUUAACUCUUCCUGUUUCUCUUCCUCUCUCUUUUCUUCUUUGUGAUCCCUCAUGACCACACUUCCCUCUUCACUCCUUAUGCUCCCUAUACGCCCACCUACUCCCUGUCCAUGCUCGAGUCCACCUUCUUCUUUUCUUUUUGGUAGUCCUACAUGUCCACCUACUGUCCCCUUCUUUUGUUAUAAUCCCUUACACCCCUAUUAUGCACCCUCGUAUCUCCUUUUUCCUCUCACGAUCCAUGGUCCAACGCGACCACUAUUCCCUAAGCCUUUUUACCCAACGCCGUAUGUACAAUCUACCCCAACGUUUUCGGAGCAAUCAUCCCCGACGCCGUGUUUGCAAACAUAACCCCAAUGCCGUGUCUACAAACAUAAACCCUUCACGACCAAAACCCAUCGCCGUGCACGGCUACAACCUCAUCGCCGUGCGCUUCUUCUUCCUCUCCGCAACCCAUUGCCAAGCUCGAUCUCCACUAGAUCUCCACUAAUGAGCCCCCUCUUUGUCUGCUGCCACAAUCUCUUGUCAGCAGCCUCCAUCCUAGCUCUGUCUCCCCCAAUCUCAGCUAUUGCUUCAUCACCUGCCACGAUCUCUCGUCAGCAGCCUCCAUCCUAGCUCUGUCUCCCCCAAUCUCGGCUAUUGCUUCCAUCACCUGCAGCCACUACCAACCCACCCUCUCGUUGUUCUUUCUCUCUAAAAACCAGCGACCUCCUCUACCGUUGUCUCUCACUCAGGUACCUUUACUAUUUCUCUUUGCUACUCUCUCCAAUAUCUCGGACCCCUACUCAACCCGGCUGUUGCCCCCCUUUCCACCAUUCUUCGCCCUCAUCUCAGCCACCUCUCUGUACUCCUCCAUUCCGGGCUGCCAUCACCUCAUUCCCAUUCAGCUGCGCCUCAGCCCUUUCUUCCGGCCAGCAACCUCUGCCAUCUCGUUGCUUCGCCCUCAUCUUAGCCACCUCUCUGUACUCCUCCAUUCCCGGCUGCCAUCACCUCCUUCCCAUUCAGCUGCGCCUCAGCCCAUUCUUCCGGCCAGCAACCUCUGCCAUCUCGUUGCUUCGCCCUCAUCUCAGCCACCUCUCUAUACUUCUCUAUUCCCGGCUGCCAUCACCUCCUUCCCGUUCAGCUGCGCCUCAGCCCUUUCUUCCGGCCAGCGACCUCUGCCAUCUCGUUGCUUCGCCCUCAUCUCAGCCACCUCUCUGUACUCCUCCAUUCCCGGCUGCCAUCACCUCCUUCCCAUUCAGCUGCGCCUCAGCCCUUUCUUCCGGCCAGCAACCCCUGCCAUCUCGUUGCUGCUCCUCUCAGCCACCAGCUGCUCUCUCCGCGACCACGCGCGACCCCAUUCUCUCUUCUGCAACCUGCAACUCAUACACCCAUGCGCUACUCGCUCUCUAAAAAAAACCCAAUAGCGAGUCUCUCUCUCUUCGCCUCCGACCUGCAACCAACCGCGUUCUCUCUCUCUGCCACCUUCUUUCCUCCUCUUUCCUCACCAUCGCCCUCGCCUUCAACCAGGCAACAGCCUCUGUUGCUGCCUGUGACCAAGCUCCAACCUUGCUAAGCCACCUCCGCCUCUUUCGCUCUCCAGCCCCUCUCGAUCAUCUUUCCUUCGUCCCCACGCUCCUCUCUGCAAACUUCUAUUUUCUCUAUCUCUAAAAACCCACAAUACAAAACACCCGAUUUGUUUUUUUUCAUCUCUUUCUUUUCGUUUUAAGUUUUCGUUGAUUUCGUCCACCCCCUUUACUUCAUCCAACCUCAAGUCCCCUUGUCUCUCUUAAGCAACCUUACCCUUUUGUUUAUUAGUUAACUUUAUACCCUCUCGUUCAAACAAAAGAAACCCAUUACCCCAAGCCUCUCUCUGUCAACUAAUCUUUUUUUUAUUAUCUAACAUUACCCUCCCUCAUUCACACAACAAUUCAAUGCAUAGCCCUCUGUCUCUCUAAACCAAAAGUACUUUCUUAUUUUAUUAUUAUCUUAUCCCUCCUAUCCUCUUCUAAAACAUUCGUCAUAUUCCAUCUUAUUUCUAAUUACCCCUCUUUCUUUAUCCAAACAUUAUUCUCCUUUAUUCACAUAAUACUCAAUAACCUAGUAAUAAAACCCCCCUUCUCCCUUGAUCAAUUAAACCUUUUAUUAUUAUUUUAUUUUUUAACCUCAUCCAUUUUUAUAAUCUUAGCUUAUCUUAAUCCUAUUUCUUCUACUCCAUUCAUUUUAUCUUAUUCUCCCCAAUCCUAUUUUAUUUCAUUUACUUUAUUGAUUUUAUCUUAUUCCAUUUUAAUUACUUAUUUUAUUUUAUUUUAUUCACCUCUUUUAUUUUAUUUUCCCCAUCUUAUUUUAUUUCAUUUUCUUUUAUCCCUUUUAUUUUAUUUUCCUUUACUUCAUUUUAUCAUCCUAACUCCAUCUUCUAAUCUUAUUUUAUUUUAAUUCAUCACUCUCAUUUUCAUUUCACUUUGUUUUCCAUCAUUCUUAUUUCAUCAUCACUUUUAUUUCACCUUCGUCUUUUCUAGAAGACCUAGCGACAAUCGAGCUAAUCUUCACUUCCUCUCUUUCUCUCCAUUGCUUGUUUGACCAGAGGGCAGGCUGAGCCUUGAGCCAUCGUGCCAGUCUUGUCGUCGAGCAGUAUUGCCGCUGUGCCGGUCUGAGUUAUCGUGCUUAUCUUGCUGCCGCGUCAGACUAGCCGUUGUGCCAGACUAGCUGUCGUGCCAAUCUUGUCGUCGAGCAGUAUUGCUGUCGUGCCGGUCUGAGUUAUCGUGCCCGUCUUGCUGCCAUGACAGACUAGCCAUCAUGUCAGACUAGUUGAUGCUGGUUCUGCCAUCGUGCCAGUCUGAGUUACCGUGCCCGUCUCGCUACCACGUCAAAUCAGUCACUGUACUGGUCUAACUACUGUGCCAGCCUAGCCGCCUAGUCGAACUUCUUCUCUCAUUUUCACUUCUUCUAUCUCUUUAUAACAUGGCUGGGUCCUAUGACCCACACCUCUGUAUUUUUUAUGUGUGUGUGUUUGCAGGAAAAGAGAAACAGGUCAAGGGAGGCGAUUACAAACCGACCGCAGGCCAGGGGGCAUUCCAACGUGAUCUAAGAGGGUGCCCAGGCGAGAUAACCCAAGUGUGUCAUGGACCCAAAUGAG
Molecule: long non-coding RNA, 3173 nt
Filed under: Amborella trichopoda
Lineage: Eukaryota; Viridiplantae; Streptophyta; Magnoliopsida; Amborellales; Amborellaceae
Description: long non-coding RNA (ATRI_LNC003659)
Source: RNAcentral